Molecule: transfer RNA, 74 nt
Filed under: Anaerolineae bacterium
Lineage: Bacteria; Bacillati; Chloroflexota; Anaerolineae
Description: tRNA-Val
Rfam family: tRNA
About the family: Transfer RNA (tRNA) molecules are approximately 80 nucleotides in length. Their secondary structure includes four short double-helical elements and three loops (D, anti-codon, and T loops).
Source: RNAcentral
GGGGCCGUAGCUCAGUUGGUUAGAGCGCGUCAUUCACAUUGACGAGGUCGAUGGUUCGAGCCCAUUCGGCCCCA